RNAcentral lists this ribosomal RNA (253 nucleotides) under uncultured bacterium. RNAcentral describes it as "partial 16S ribosomal RNA". It matches the Rfam family "Bacterial small subunit ribosomal RNA", at positions 524 to 776 of the family's 1533-position model. The record is from RNAcentral.
UACGUAGGGUGCAAGCGUUGUCCGGAAUUAUUGGGCGUAAAAAGCUCGUAGGCGGUUCGUCGCGUCGGCUGUGAAAACCCGGAGCUCAACUCCGGGCCUGCAGUCGAUACGGGCGGACUUGAGUGUUGCAGGGGAGACUGGAAUUCCUGGUGUAGCGGUGAAAUGCGCAGAUAUCAGGAGGAACACCGGUGGCGAAGGCGGGUCUCUGGGCAACUACUGACGCUGAGGAGCGAAAGCGUGGGGAGCGAACAGG